This 408-nucleotide long non-coding RNA is filed under the name Fukomys damarensis (Damara mole-rat). Its description in RNAcentral is "lncRNA (ENSFDAG00000033365.1)". Lineage: Eukaryota; Metazoa; Chordata; Mammalia; Rodentia; Bathyergidae. The record is from RNAcentral.
UUUAGUUCCAGAAUGUGAUGAGACAAAUGCGUUUGGAUUUAAGGAGAACAAUGCCACAGCUGUGAGAAGCUUUUUCCAGGAUUCCAUUUCCAAGAUCUAUUUUCAUCCUUAAAAUUGUUCACUGUACCUUAAUCAUAGAAACUGCAGGACCUAUCAUGCUACAGAGAAAACUACCUGCCUGCCUCAAGCCAACUGGUGAGGACUGGUUUGCUGCACAGGCACCUCUGUAAUAACCACACAGUGCCCGCACCUGCUCUCAGGCCUCCUGAUUGUGCCAGUUCUCAGAUCCACUCUGCAAAGGCACAGGUGGUCAUACAGCUCAUUUUUCUGAGCUCCAGAAGAUAGAAUAGAAGUGAGCAACUGCAAUAAAGGCACAUAAGAUCUCCAUAGUUGGUAAGUUGGAGAGAG